CACUGACCUCAAAUGAUGCUCUGCCAACCUUGUAGGUAAACUCCGUUUCCUUCAGUCUAAACUCAGAAGCUAGAGCAAACAAUCAUUUGGUAACAUUUGGCAAAGGAUGAAAGACAUUUGCCUCAGAAUUGAAGCCUUAGAUUUAGAAGAGGAACUAAGAAGAUUAUCUCAUGAGGAAAUGGAGGAAAGAAAUAAUCUCAA
Molecule: long non-coding RNA, 201 nt
Filed under: Elaeis guineensis (African oil palm)
Lineage: Eukaryota; Viridiplantae; Streptophyta; Magnoliopsida; Arecales; Arecaceae
Description: long non-coding RNA (EGUI_LNC012256)
Source: RNAcentral